CCUGGAUUCGACAGGUUUUGCAGGCAAGGUGCAUGCCGAGGGCGGUUGUGGCCUCGUAAAAGCCGCAAAAAUAGUCGCGACGACAGAGCUUCUGCUUUAGCGGCUUAAACAACACCAGCAGAGCCCACUCUCCUAGCCUUACUCCGCUCUUAGGACCGGGGAUCAAGAGAGGUCAAACCCAAAAGAGAUCGCGCGGAUGCUUGCACGGGGUUGAAGCGUUAAAACGAAUCAGGCUAGUCUGGUAGUGGCGUGUCCGUCCGCAGGUGCCGGGCAGAAUGUAAAGAACUUUGACCAAGCAUGUAGUACCGAGGUAGGAAUUUCGGACGCGGGUUCAGCUCCCGCC
This 343-nucleotide transfer-messenger RNA is filed under the name Salmonella enterica subsp. enterica. It matches the Rfam family "transfer-messenger RNA". From Rfam's summary of the family: Bacterial tmRNA, also known as 10Sa RNA or SsrA, is named for its dual tRNA and mRNA-like properties. Its role is to liberate the mRNA from a stalled ribosome. To accomplish this part of the tmRNA is used as a reading frame that ends in a translation stop signal. The record is from RNAcentral. Lineage: Bacteria; Pseudomonadati; Pseudomonadota; Gammaproteobacteria; Enterobacterales; Enterobacteriaceae.